Long non-coding RNA from Parus major (Great Tit), 2946 nucleotides. RefSeq lists it as uncharacterized. Lineage: Eukaryota; Metazoa; Chordata; Aves; Passeriformes; Paridae. The transcript is spliced from 2 exons. The record is from RefSeq and is a predicted model, not a curated record.
GCGGAUUGCUGCGGGCCGAGACGGGGAGACGCUCAGUUAUCGGGUGCUGGCUCCCAGAUAUUUGUUUCCUUUUGGGUUUUGGCCUUGUUCCACAUUAGUGGCCCUCCCGAACCUGUAUUCUUUCCAUCAAAGGAGAUGGAGAUUUUCCAGGAUUAUGGGGACAGAGCCGUCUGAUAGUGACAGCCCCAGCUACAGCUCCCUUCUCUCCACACGUUUAUGGAACAGAGGUGUUUCUGACACAAGUAGCUUGACAUACCAACAGGGAAAUCCCAAAAUCCUGGUUUUUCCAGAGCCUCCCUGGACAGCCUUUAGUGAGUAAAAAAUACAAUGGGUACUUCAGUGUCCUGUUCCUCUAAGUGUCAGUUAUCUGAUGGGAAGUUGAGGCCCAUCCUGGUUCGUGUUUUCACCAUUACCUCAGGAACAAAGAGGUGAUUUUCACAGGUGGCAAGCCCGCACACACAAGUCCAAAGGCAGUGGCUCUAAAGUGCAAAACCCACAGCAUUUCUCCAUGCAAGAACAGAAGUGCAAGAUGCAAUGUCAGACUCAUUCUCACUGGAUCUGGUGACGGUCUGGGCACUGAUGACACUCAGAACAAGAUGGCUCAGCACUUUCUCCAGGCCCUCAGAAGAGGGGAAAUGAAACAAUGCACCUAAAUUAAGAAGGUGCUUUUUUCAGUGUCUAAACUGAGCACUUCUACCAGCCACUUUCAGGCUGACCAUAAAACCUGCACUGAAGUCGAGAGGACAGCUGGCCACAACUCAGUUCUCUCCUGACAAGGCAGAAAGCUGAACUGCUGCACUUCCAGGUGAUCUGCACAUCUGGUUUACCCAGUUGUAGCCUGGGCCCUCCACAGAAUUUCAGUUCCUGGCCUUUCACUGGCAUCCUGCUGGAACACAAGGAGCUCCCACAAAACAUACUGUGCAUUUUCCAGUUCCUUCCUGGGUAUGGCAAUAAGGAUCUGGAAAGACAACAUUACAUCAGCUGUGAUCCUCCUGAACAGGAAGGCAAUCUGAAUUCUGGCCUCCUGGGGGGAACUGAGAUGGCAUUCCAAAUACUUUCAUGGGCUGCUCACUCUCAUUUGCUGUGGUUCACCUUGGGUAUUCCCAGAAGAUAUUCCAGAAGCAAUUUUCUGAUAGAUCUGGAUUUUACCUGAGAUUUUUUUGGAGAAAUCAUUUAAGAAAUUGUGUGAUGCAAAAAAUGAAUGUCAAAAAAAUAGCAAAAAACCAAGUAGCUACCAUUACAAAUACCUAAGCAAUGGGAAGAAUUACUACAUACAUGUUCUCAAUAUGUAAAAUACAAUUUAUUGUAUUUAGGCUGUUCAUAAGUAUCAACACAAUGUAUUAUGUUUGAAACAAACAUCUCGCCAAUAAAUACUAUCUAAACAUUAAUAUUAAUCUUUUGAUCAAAUGUGUACAGUGUAUUGACUCAAUAUUGCACAGUGAGUUCUAUAUGACAUUUCCAUAGUGCAUUCAGUUUGUUACAGGGAUAGUUUGCCACAAAUAUUGCAAAGCAUCAGAGUUGACUUUUCCAAGUGAAAACAGCUGACCUAUUCCAUUAGGGAUGGAAGGCUGGUAUAAAUGUCAGUGUCUUAGGUUAACUGGUUAUGGAUUCACAGAACCUAAUGUUUUCAUGGAUAAGGAGACUUUGUUUCUAAUAUGAUUUUUAUAUAAUUGUAAAAAAAUACCACUUGCAAAUAGAAUGAGGAUGUUAUCAUUAAAUUCCAUUGACCAGAGAGCUUGUAAGCAGGUUCAUUCCAGUAAACUUGUUUUCUCUUGUUCCAAUCAAAAUAUAAAUCACAUAUAUGAUAUAUUCAGAGCUGUACCUCACCACCUGCAUUUCAAAGGCCAUGCUGUGCAAGCCCCCAGCAUCACUCCAGCUCGUUGCUCCCCAUGAGCCUGUGCUCAGGUGAGAUUCAGUACCUGCUGGUAUGAGCAGACACUCUAGUCCCAGUGGUUGUCAAUGUAUGAAUGCAGAUAUAAUCUGUAAUGGUUCUGUGGUUGCAAUCACAAUGGUUCUAUAAUUCAUUGUAUCUCAUCUUUAUCUGAUUAAAUCUUGAUUCUAGAGCAUCACUUCUGUGAGGGGUGGUCCUGCCAGUUGGUAUGGCAUUCCCACACUCACACAGAGGGCUGGGUGCUGCCAGCAAUGUGGCCAGCUGUCCUGCUCUCCUGAAAACCAGUGACUCCUGGAUCAGAUGGACUCAUGUGCUCUGGUCAGCCCAGAGUCAAACACUGGCAGGACUGUGGCUCGCAGCCACAGAUUUUCAACAGCUCACUGUUAUUCACUCUCAAGUCCAACUAUGACAAAACCAUGUCCAUGGCAGUGGGAGAUGACUGUGAGAGUAAGGACUGCAUGAUUUGACCUGUAUUUGCAUGAACUUGCAACUGCUCUGACAUUGCAGAAGGACCUUAAGAUGGACAUAUACUGCUUUAAUGUACAUUUAAGCUACAUUGCCUUGCCAAAGUUGUAUGAACUGCUCAAAAUGCAAAUAAGAUUCAUGGUCAUAGAAUGACUGUGACUGACUUGGAAAAGAUUUGACCAUCAGUAUAAUGGUGCUUAAUGCUUAGUGUGUAGUAUCCCUUAGUGCUUAGCAUGUAGUAUUUCUUUAAGUAAAAGAAAAUUCACUCACCAAGUGAUACAAUUAAAAAUUUCUAAGAAACUACUGGUUAAGUAUUACCUCAUGAUUAUGUAAAUCAUGUUUAUAUCCCUCCUCUUUGCUGUCUAUCAGUUUGUAUAUAUUUAGAUUCUUUAUAUUCAGGUAACAGAGAUGAAAUACUUAUUUCUAUCUAAAAAGACAGUAGGAAAAAACAGGGAUUGAAGGGAUUUCUUUUCUGUACAAAAAAUACAUUUUUAUGACAACAGCCAGUACCUUCACAGUAGGUCCUUUGCUCCUCUACUUACCACCAAGGUUCAGUCAUCCAUAACACCAUCAUAAAGUAUCAGAAUUAU